AGAACGAACGCUGGCGGCAUGCCUAAUACAUGCAAGUCGAACGAAGGCUUCGGCCUUAGUGGCGCACGGGUGCGUAACGCGUGGGAAUCUGCCCCUUGGUUCGGAAUAACAGUUGGAAACGACUGCUAAUACCGGAUGAUGACGAAAGUCCAAAGAUUUAUCGCCAAGGGAUGAGCCCGCGUAGGAUUAGCUAGUUGGUGAGGUAAAGGCUCACCAAGGCGACGAUCCUUAGCUGGUCUGAGAGGAUGAUCAGCCACACUGGGACUGAGACACGGCCCAGACUCCGUACGGGAGGCAGCAGUAGGGAAUAGUUGGACAAGUGGGGACGAAA
This 331-nucleotide ribosomal RNA is filed under the name uncultured soil bacterium. Its description in RNAcentral is "bacterial SSU rRNA". It matches the Rfam family "Bacterial small subunit ribosomal RNA", at positions 26 to 380 of the family's 1533-position model. The record is from RNAcentral.